CCAACAGGGAUUGCCUUAGUAACGGCGAGUGAAGCGGCAAAAGCUCAAAUUUGAAAUCUGGCACCUUCGGUGUCCGAGUUGUAAUUUGAAGAAGGUAACUUUGGAGUUGGCUCUUGUCUAUGUUCCUUGGAACAGGACGUCACAGAGGGUGAGAAUCCCGUGCGAUGAGAUGCCCAAUUCUAUGUAAAGUGCUUUCGAAGAGUCGAGUUGUUUGGGAAUGCAGCUCUAAGUGGGUGGUAAAUUCCAUCUAAAGCUAAAUAUUGGCGAGAGACCGAUAGCGAACAAGUACAGUGAUGGAAAGAUGAAAAGAACUUUGAAAAGAGAGUGAAAAAGUACGUGAAAUUGUUGAAAGGGAAGGGCUUGAGAUCAGACUUGGUAUUUUGCGAUCCUUUCCUUCUUGGUUGGGUUCCUCGCAGCUUACUGGGCCAGCAUCGGUUUGGAUGGUAGGAUAAUGACUAAGGAAUGUGGCUCUACUUCGGUGGAGUGUUAUAGCCUUGGUUGAUACUGCCUGUCUAGACCGAGGACUGCGUCUUUUGACUAGGAUGUUGGCAUAAUGAUCUUAAGCCACCC
Molecule: ribosomal RNA, 570 nt
Filed under: Debaryomyces hansenii
Lineage: Eukaryota; Fungi; Ascomycota; Pichiomycetes; Serinales; Debaryomycetaceae
Description: partial large subunit ribosomal RNA
Rfam family: Eukaryotic large subunit ribosomal RNA
Source: RNAcentral